Long non-coding RNA from Esox lucius (northern pike), 2102 nucleotides. Lineage: Eukaryota; Metazoa; Chordata; Actinopteri; Esociformes; Esocidae. The record is from Ensembl.
AAACAGCACAGUGUUGUUAUAAACCAGUAACCUUAACCCUUAGCCUCAAAGCACACCCUUUUCCUGAUAACACAGACAGACAUUCACACUCAAAAUACAGUACAACGAUAUUCGGUGUUCACACAUUUGUACACACACACGUACAGCGCACACGUUCAUUUCCAGUGAAGUCCCAGAUUCACUGAAUUGGCAGCGGGCUUAAAAGUGACCUGAAUGUUCCUCCUUAAUGACUGGCUGGAAGCGGGAAGAGGUUUCUUCUGUGGUGCUGCUGUUGCGUAACUUCUCAAGAUGUCCUUUGAAGUCUCGUUCCCCAUUUUAGAAAUCUUCAUGCCGAUCAUCACGUUUGGAAUUAUCAUCCUCUGCUGCACGGCCUUCUGCAAGGCCUUUCACCGCGUCCGCGAGGAGCGAAUGGAGCGGGAGGAGAGACUCGACAGGCCCUCGGUUUUCGUUAUCCCCUUCCCAGCGGUGUCCUGUGACAACGAAGACCUCCACAGGCCUCCGCGUUACAGCACCACAGAGUCCUACAGCCCGCCUCCUGCCUACAACGAGGUGGAGAUGAAGCCAGACUUCAUCGAAGCAGAUCUUCCUCCAGCCUACUCAGAGAUCUCACACGCCCCAGAUGUCUAAUUGCGUUCUCCAUCCACUGCGCCUUGGUUUGGUUCCUCCUCAGCCCCACUGUCACCCGGGGGACCAUACUAGCUGGGAAAACUGAAGGCCAAACACACUCGAAGAGAACCUAGGCUAUGCGUGGAUCCAUGACCCUGAAGCUGUACUAACUGUUCUGCAGAGACUUAGCACUGGGGUUUGUGAAAGGUGUGUUUGGGAGGCGCCCUGUGGGAAAAGGAUGAAUCGGCUUAUGUGGCAAGCGUGGGAUUAUGGACGUCUAUGAAUGUGUGUCCUGUGAAGCAAGAUUUGUCCCUCCACCUGCUCUGUGUACAUGUGUAAAUAUUCAAAAAUCUUGAAUAAAUUGUAUUUUUGUAAGCCUUACUCAAAACUGUUAAUAUGAUGAAGUAUUAUUGUUGUGGGCCUUGAUCUGUGAUAAUAUGGUAGUUUAUUUAAAUGUUUUUUGACAUCUGGAAUGAAGUCUGUUUUCCAUUUUGAAGAUCCAAUCUGUUCUCUUCUGUGUCAGUCAUGUCUGAUGCUUCCACACAUCUUCUAUGCUCUUUAACCCCAUCGGUUUCAUAACAGCUCUACCCAGUAAGAUGAUUUAUGAAAGCCUAUUAGUAAGAUAUUGAACAGACAACUGAUUAUCUUCGCCAUGUGACUGACCGACAUAGUGUCAUUGACACGCCUCUUAAACAUUUUCUUUCAGGCUUUAUUACCGCUGCCCAAUCAUAGAUUCAUACUUCAAUAAUAUUAGGACUUUGGCUAAUGGUAGGUCAUUAAGCAAUGAUAAAACCCUUUCACUGACUGUCACUGAAAACCUUGAUGAAAUCAUAUUAGUUCAUAGCUGCCUUUAAAAUGCAUGUUUUAAUCAUCAACGCCUGCCUAAAAAUGUGUGCAGACAUGAUAAAGCCAUGUAUGAACAGUGUUUAUGACUAGACUACAGGUUGAGCAGUUGAGAUACCUCCUUGCUACCAAUCCAACACAGCUUUGGUUCAUAAAAUGUAUGUAUGAACAAUACUACCAUUUACCAAAUGUUUAAAACCAGAGUCUGUUGUGUUCCAUGGACAGUGUUAUGCUGAUGAGCUAAAGCCUUGGCCUUAACAUGGGGAACCAAAACCUCAGUCUACUGGAGGGGUUUAGUGACUGUGAUUCACCAAAAUAACUGGAAUAUGUAAACAGUUUUAUGUAGCAUCAUAGCCGAUUGUGAAUGUUUUAGGUGGUUUUAAUAGCAUGGGAGAUCAAAGUCCUGUUCCAGUCACACUGUUUGUAUUGAGCCAUGAAGUGCAGCCACGUUAUUUUUUUGCUGUCUUUAUUUGAAUCAAAGGUUGCUCAGUCAAAUCCCUGAGCCAGCAAAGGAAAAAAUCUGUGGUUCUGUGUUUGAGAAAAACAUUUAACCCUUUUUUGCUCCACUAAGAGCAUCUGAUCAAUUACUAAAAUAUAAAAGCUGAAAAUUGGUUCCUGGGGGACUGUACUUGGAGAACAAGUUAAGGUAUUGU